This is a long non-coding RNA of Toxorhynchites rutilus septentrionalis, 1661 nucleotides long. RefSeq lists it as uncharacterized. Lineage: Eukaryota; Metazoa; Arthropoda; Insecta; Diptera; Culicidae. The record is from RefSeq and is a predicted model, not a curated record. The transcript is spliced from 4 exons.
GUAGUGGACUAUUAUAAGAAAAGUAACAUACAUAAACAAAAUCUGUGACGUCACAGAUUUAAAAAAUCUUCCUACCUUUCAUUUUCCAUCUCGGUGUCGGUGCAUCAGCGAGUGCAUCAUCAGCUCGCAUGACAGUUGUCAAUGGUGUUGCUUUUUCGACGAUUUCCAUCCCGUUAGUUGCUUGUGGCUCAAACUGUGUUCUCGAAAUGGUCUCUUCGGCAGAAGGAACCGUUCGCGCCCACCACAUAAGAGCGAUCGUUCAGCUUCUCAUGUACAACGGCUGGAGUCCAUAAUUUAUUGCUUUCGGGAUGAGCUUGGAUGUAAACUGGUGAACCCGUUUGCAAUACAGGAUCGAUUCUGGAACAUUCGGUACGACACGAGGAGAGUAUUUUUCGAACGAAGCGGGCACUCCGCACCUAGUGCUGCGUGAGAACAAUCUACUUACUGGGCUGCUUCCAAUCUUGUUUGGAAUAUUCCGCCAAUGGAGCACUUGGAUUGGAAGAUUUCGGGCGCAGAUGAGAUACCGAAAGGAAGUCUUAGCCAGCGGUAGCGUCCGAAAGGGGUCCAAAACGACGUUAGUUUGCUGCUCGCCUCUUCCAACACUACGUGCCAGAAACCCUUACGUGCGUCAACUGUUGAGAAUACCUUAGCCUGGUCCAGCUCUGGUAAAAUUUCAUCCAGAGUAACGAAUUGGAGAUUGGGCCUUCUCAAUGCCUUGUUUAACGGAAUAGGGUCCAAGCAAAUGCGGAUUGACUCGGAUCCUGGAGUACCACGUCUAACAAUAAGGAUGUUACUCACCCACUCUGUAUGGUGAUAUUCCCUCGUGAUGAUUCCAUCUCGUUGCAGCUGAUCCAAUUCUGCCUUCAGCAUUGGUCGAAGAGCGAUUGGAACCCGGCGUGGCUGCUGGAUUACCGGUGUAACACUAUUAUCGAUUUCCAACGUAACUUCCCCGUUCAUUUUCCCAUAUCCUUCAAAAACGUCUCCGUACUCAUCAAUGAUUUUCUCAGCUUUGAUACGAUAUAUUUUCAGCACAUUUUGUUCAGUUUCUCCCGUUGGUUGAGCAGGUACCAUGCUGACGGAGUUACAAAACUUGAUCAAACCAAACGUUGUGCACACCUUCAAGGACAGCAGUGGCCUGUGGCUAACGUCGACGACUUGCAAUACGAGUAUAUACUUCAUCGAUUGGCACUUGCAAGGUAGUUUGACUUGACCAAGAACGUUGAUAGUGCCACCACCAAUAGCUUGAAGCUUGUACGGUGACGGGAGUAAUUCCGGAUCGGUUUCACCAGUCAGCUUACACAGCCAAUCGUACCCAAUUAAACUGGUAUUGGCACCUGUAUCCAGCUCGCAUUUGACACUUCUCCACUUGUCUUUAAUUUUCAGGAACACUUCCGCCAGGACAUUUCCUCCUUUCUUAGAUUUGUCGAAGAUCUUGCCGAUUUCCCCUUCCAUUUCCGAUUCCUCUGACUGCUCACUGUACUCGUUUUCUGAAUCGCUGUCAUCCGAGGUGUCUUGGUGGUUUAUUUUCUUCACUCUGCGUACGCGAUUGCGUUUUGACGAACUCAAUGGGUUUUUUCGGCAAACUUUCUCGAAGUGAUUCUUUCCGGAACAAAGCUUACAUUUCUUACCGUAUACUGGACAUGAACCUCUCGUGAAUGCAU